UUCUCCUAUCGUGAAUCUACAUGUGGAUGAUAAGAAUGUUAGUGCGGAGGCAAUUGCAAUGGCUUUGGCUUAUCUUUACGGGCAUCACCCUAAGCUUAAUGAUAACAACGCAUUUCGUGUGUUGGCUGCUGCUUCCUUUCUUGACCUUCAGGAUUUAUGUGCUAUAUGCACGGACUUCAUUAUAUCUGAACUGUGGACUUCUAACUUCUUGGCAUAUCAGGUAUUUGCGGAGAGCCAAGACUACGGCAUACACGGAGAGCGUGUGAGAAAUGCUUGCUGGGGCUACCUUUGUCAAAGUGGUGCCAUGGAAUUGAAAGAGGUGCUUCCAAAACUUUCUUCCCAAACUCUGCAUGCAUUACUGACCUCAGAUGAAUUAUGGGUACCUAGUGAAGAGAAACGGUUUGAGCUGGCAUUAUACACACUUCUUGCAAAAGGUGCUUUUUGCAAGACAGAGCAUUCUGAGCAAGGCAAUUCUAGUUCUGAGAUUGGCGUGGG
RNAcentral lists this unclassified non-coding RNA (495 nucleotides) under Hevea brasiliensis (rubber tree). Lineage: Eukaryota; Viridiplantae; Streptophyta; Magnoliopsida; Malpighiales; Euphorbiaceae. The record is from RNAcentral.